CCUAAUUGCGACGCGGAGGGACAUUGCUGGAGCGCCGCAAG
RNAcentral lists this ribosomal RNA (41 nucleotides) under Cytospora chrysosperma. RNAcentral describes it as "Valsa sordida partial 18S ribosomal RNA". The record is from RNAcentral. Lineage: Eukaryota; Fungi; Ascomycota; Sordariomycetes; Diaporthales; Cytosporaceae.